This 543-nucleotide ribosomal RNA is filed under the name Triticum aestivum (bread wheat). Its description in RNAcentral is "partial small subunit ribosomal RNA". The record is from RNAcentral. Lineage: Eukaryota; Viridiplantae; Streptophyta; Magnoliopsida; Poales; Poaceae.
AUGGCGGUAGUGCUUGGAGCUCGGCGUCGCCUCCCUCCAGACGCCUGUGGUGUGCGAGAUGGAAGUCGCCUCCCUCCCUUCGACACCACUACCAGAACUGGUCGACGCCGCCGGUCGCGUCCCUCUCUUCUCCGCGGUGACGAGCAUGGGCGGGUUCCCCACCAUGGCUUCCUCGCCGCCAACGGCGAGCGCGGUGCCUCCUCUCCACGCUCUGUAGAUCCGUCCCGGUGGAAACUCGAUGCAGGUGAGAUUUUCCUUACCAAGGUUGUGAACCUCUCCUUCCCUGCUCGAUUGAGAACUCACGGUGGGAGUUGUCCAGUUGUCCGUAGGAAGCCAGAUUUCCCCUUCCACCGAGUUAUACUAGGCUCAAGUCUUCCUUAUUAUUAUUUUUCUUUUGCUACCAAAUUGAUGCAUGUUCUAUCAGUGAAAGGAUUGGAGACUGGUUCUAGUAGUGGUGGUUUGUUUGAUGAAUUUCUAGUGCCCAUGAUUUGCAAAGGGUUUCAGCCAGUACUGGCGUCUAGCAACCUUGAAGCCCACAGUUGA